This 468-nucleotide ribosomal RNA is filed under the name uncultured bacterium. RNAcentral describes it as "partial 16S ribosomal RNA". It matches the Rfam family "Bacterial small subunit ribosomal RNA", at positions 28 to 507 of the family's 1533-position model. The record is from RNAcentral.
GACGAACGCUGGCGGCGUGCUUAACACAUGCAAGUCGAACGGACAGGCCCUGCUUUUGUGGGGUGCUCGAGUGGCGAACGGGUGAGUAACACGUGAGUAACCUGCCCUUGACUUUGGGAUAACUUCAGGAAACUGGGGCUCAUACCGGAUAGGAGCUCCUGCUGCAUGGUGGGGGUUGGAAAGUUUCGGCGGUUGGGGAUGGACUCGCGGCUUAUCAGCUUGUUGGUGUGGUAGUGGCUUACCAAGGCUUUGACGGGUAGCCGGCCUGAGAGGGUGACCGGCCACAUUGGGACUGAGAUACGGCCCAGACUCCUACGGGAGGCAGCAGUGGGGAAUAUUGCACAAUGGGCGGAAGCCUGAUGCAGCAACGCCGCGUGCGGGAUGACGGCCUUCGGGUUGUAAACCGCUUUCGCCUGUGACGAAGCGUGAGUGACGGUAAUGGGUAAAGAAGCACCGGCUAACUACGUG